Non-coding RNA from Pelobates cultripes (western spadefoot toad), 1594 nucleotides. The record is from the annotation of a GenBank genome assembly. Lineage: Eukaryota; Metazoa; Chordata; Amphibia; Anura; Pelobatidae.
UGCAGAACAACCCUAAGAACAGACAGGUCAUCCUGGUGUGAAUGCACUAUAGGCUGCCUGCCAAUAAGCAUGCAAGCCCACCGAGGGUAGAUAAUGCAGGGAGCAAGGUUUUAAUACUUACUGCAAGAUCCUAGUGCCCUAAUGAUGCAUUUACACUAUUCUGUUUGGGGACAGUGCCCCACAGCAGGACUCCAGGGAAUAAAAUUGGGACGACAGGAAAGGAUCCUAAAAUUGGAGCUGUCCUGCCAAUAUCGCUAAUUCAAUGAGGGUUAAUGAUGCGUUUGCAGUGAAACAUAGUGGAAUUACAACUCUGGCAGCAUCAUUAAAUACCUCUAGCUGUGUAAGUGCACAUCACUGACAUCAUCAUGGUGCUACAGUAGCCAUUUAAGAAGCGAUCAAAAUUAUUGGCCAACUUCUUCAUACAAUUGCAUUGAAUAAAGAAGUCAGUUGAAGUAUAUACACUGCUCAAAAAAAUAAAGGGAACACAAAAAUAACAUCCUAGAUCUGAAUGUAUUAAAUAUUCUUCUGAUAUACUUUGUUCUUUACAUAGUUGAAUGUGCUGACAACAAAAUCACACAAAAAUUAAAAAAUGGAAAUCAAAAUUUUCAACCAAUGGAGGUCUGGAUUUGGAGGCUGAUCCAACUUUGAUGUAAUGUCCUUAAAACAAGUCAAAAUGAGGCUCAGUAGUGUGUGUGGCCUCCACGUGCCUGUAUGACCUCGCUACAACGCCUGUGCAUGCUCCUGAUGAGGUGGCAGACGCUCUCCUCCCAGACCUGGACUAAAGCAUCCGUCAACUCGUGGACAGUCUGUGGUGCAACGUGACGUUGGUGAACGGAGCGAGAUAUGAUGUCCCAGAUGUGCUCAAUUGGAUUCAGGUCUGGGGAACAGGCAGGUCAGUCUAUAGCAUCAAUGCCUUCGUCUUGCAGGAACUGCUGACACACUCCAGCCACAUGAGGUCUAGCAUUGUCUUGCAUUAGGAGGAACCCAGGGCCAACCACACCAGCAUAUGGUCUCACAAGGGGUCUGAGGAUCUCAUCUCGGUACCUAAUGGCAGUCAGGCUACCUCUGGCAAGCACAUGGAGGGCUGUGUGCCCCCUCCUCUCCCCCCUUCCCCACACCAUUACUGACACACUGCCAAACUGGUCAUGCUGGAGGAUGUUGCAGGCAGCAGAACGUUCUCCUCUGCAUCUCCAGACUCUGUCACGUCUGUCACAUGUGCUCAGUGUGAACCUGCUUUCAUCUGUGAAGAGCACAGGGCGCCAGUGGCGAAUUUGCCAAUCUUGAUGUUCUCUGGCAAAUGCCAAACGUCCUGCACGGUGUUAGGCGGUAAGCACAACCCCCACCUGUGGAUGUCAGGCCCUCAUGGAGUCUGUUUCUGACCAUUUGAGCAGACACAUGCACAUUUGUGACGUGCUGGAGGUCAUUUUGCAGGACUCUGGCAGUGCUUCUCCUGUUCAAAGUGCUUUGAUAAAGACCACAGCGGUCGAAACGCGUCAGUGCAGCUUUGUAUAGGAGAUUCUGUUUGAGCUGUAUUUUAUGUUACCAAUAAAGAUUUUUGUUCCUGUAUCUACCUUCCACCUGGCGUUUAUCUAAG